This is a non-coding RNA of Myodes glareolus (Bank vole), 691 nucleotides long. Lineage: Eukaryota; Metazoa; Chordata; Mammalia; Rodentia; Cricetidae. The record is from RefSeq and is a predicted model, not a curated record.
UCAAUUGAGAAAGACGUCAUCCAGCCUAGAAAGUAAGGACUCCACAAAACACUGGUAUCCACCUCCUGCACUCAAACCAUGAGAUAAACUCUUAUCUCACCUCCCAACUUGCACCACCCUUGAAGAGCACAUCCAGAGGACUUUCGCUAGGUGACACCCAUCUUCCGCUACAUUGACAACUGUCUUCCUCAAGCAACUGACUCAAAACCCAGGUUUCCUCUCCCAGGUUCCUUUUCUGCAAGGCUCAAUGGCAAUUUCCAACCUUUAAACCCUCGCCUUGCGAAGGCACAGAUCCUGAGACAAGGAGGGGCACAAAUGCAGCAAACAGCAACCGUCUUCCUACAAAUAACAUCGACACCACCUGCCACCAACCCGGAACGAGUUCAUGACCGACUGUGCUUCUGGUUAGUUCUGUUGUGGCCCACCCAUAAGGACAUCCGUGAGCCGGGAAGAGGCACAGAGGAGGGGACACAUGCACAUGCACUUCCAGUCUGCCGGUACCCGAGGGGCCUUGUACUACCUUCUGUGAGUGGGGGUGACGGCAGAUGUGGAGCCACAUGCCUGCCUGCUAAAGGAUGAACUACCCAGGAGCUCCAACUAUAUUUAAAAAUUUUCAACAGAAACAUUCUAAGUUUCCUUAAGAUUCUGAAAUUCUAGAGGUUUUCACUUUGUCUAAAGAGUGUCAGGAAUA